AUACGAAGGGGGCUAGCGUUGCUCGGAUUUACUGGGCGUAAAGGGCGCGUAGGCGGACAGUUAAGUUGGGGGUGAAAUCCCGGGGCCCAACCUCGGAACUGCCUUUAAAACUGGCUGUCUUGAGUACGGGAGAGGUGUGUGGAACUCCGAGUGUAGAGGUGAAAUUCGUAGAUAUUCGGAAGAACACCAGUGGCGAAGGCGACACACUGGCCCGUUACUGACGCUGAGGCGCGAAAGCGUGGGGAGCAAACAGGAUUAGAUACCCUGGUAGUCCACGCCGUAAACGAUGAUGACUAGUUGUCGGCAUGCAUGCAUGUCGGUGACGCAGCUAACGCAUUAAGUCAUCCGCCUGGGGAGUACGGUCGCAAGAUUAGA
Molecule: ribosomal RNA, 375 nt
Filed under: uncultured bacterium
Lineage: Bacteria
Description: bacterial SSU rRNA
Rfam family: Bacterial small subunit ribosomal RNA
Source: RNAcentral